CUUGACCAUCUUCCCAACACAAUUUCCUCAUACCCAGUCUAGUCCAGCCUUACCUGAAACGACCGUAUUUUCCCUUUGUAAAAUCCUUACUAUUGAUAUCCUUUUAUCAAAUGGUUGGGAACUGAUUAUCCCAUCCCUAUAAGAUUGUCCGAACUCGGACACCCCCCAUCCUAGGACCCCUCUCAUUUCACUCUCCACCUCUUACCCCUACAAACCCUAGCCACCCUCUUUUCCUCUCCAAAAAUCACAUGGAAGGAACCCUAGCCGCUGCCACCGGAAAUCGUUUCACGGCGGCGGUCAAUCACUAAAUGAUCCCAAAGUCACCCUCCACAUUCCCCACAACACUUGGAAUAUUAAUCCACCAUUAUAAUUUACCAAAUUCCUGCCCUCUUCAAUUAAUUUUAGAUCAAAAAAUUAGACCCAAACCCUAGUUCACCCAAAUGCCGUUAAACUCACACCCUACAAUCCCUUUCUUCCUCUCACCACCAAUCACCAAACAUCUCCUAUCAAAAACCCCUAAAAAUCCGCAAAUGUUUUAUCUAAGAACUCUAAGAACACUAGGCCAUGCAUGUUUUUUCCUCGUCGCUCUUUUUUGAUUCGAUAGUGUUAAGAUUCAUCCCAAAUGGUUGUUGUUGAUAAGAGUAACCAUUUGGGGUCGAUUUUAAGCGGUAUCAAAGCCAAAGACGAACUCCGCUUUGUUUCUUCUCUGCAUCUCAUUAUGUAUUAUCCUCUCUUUGUUUUCUUGUUAUUAUUUUUAUUUGUUCUGAUUUGCACCCAUGAAAACUAAAAAUGUAUUGUUAGGGUUUUAUUCAUCUAGAUUUUCUUUGUUUUGCUAAUUAUGCAGUAACAAUAGUUGAACCGCAAUUCUUCGGGUACAUUCCUUAUGCUGUUCUUUUUUGUUUUUUUUUUCAGUCUGGUGUUUAAUUUAACAUUUAGGUUGUUUGGAUAUUUGGUGUUAUUUUUACAAGUUUUUAUUUAAGUAUUCCAUGUCAAUUCAUCCUUUAUUGUUUGUCUCUUAGAAUCAAUUUGAUUUAUAUACCAUUUUGUUGUGGUUUGGGUAGAUUGUCAAUAGCCAUUUUAAUUAGACUUUCGAUGUUUCAAAUCAGAG
Molecule: long non-coding RNA, 1108 nt
Filed under: Nicotiana benthamiana
Lineage: Eukaryota; Viridiplantae; Streptophyta; Magnoliopsida; Solanales; Solanaceae
Description: long non-coding RNA (NBEN_LNC027392)
Source: RNAcentral